AAAUCAGUCUACAGGCUUUCACAGAAUACCUAUGAAUUAUUCACAUAUUGCCUAUAAAAAAACUUUAUGAAUGGAUUUGUUUAUAUAUACAGUCCUUUAACUUGCAGUCGUCCUUUUUAAAAGCAGUAUAUUGAAAUGUUUGAUAUUUGAUGGUUGCUUCUGAGCAGCUCUGGCUGUGUAUAAAGACUUCUUUGUUUUGUUAUACUAAUAUGUGUAUGGCGGCUCUUGCGGGUUGCAUUUAGGAUUAGCUCAAUGCUGCAUCUGCCAGGGCUUCUCUGGAAAAGUACAUUUUGAAUAAGCAAAUCUUGCCGUUUGCAGAUAAUUUAAUUGGUACAGUAUGAAUAUAUCUCAUUGUAUGUUUGAACCCGCGACCAUCCCCAAAUCAAAUCCAAUGGGAGAAACGUCAGCUGCAGCUUGAAGAGGGAAAUGCUAAUUUGCCAUCUGGAUUAUUGGCCAUUUGUUUAAUUCCCUUGUGCUUUAUCAGCUGCUCCAAACAAACCAGGAUCAAACCUGAUUGGUCACUUCUCAAACUGUUAAAAUAUCCAUUUGGCACUGAGAGAUGAGUCCAGCAUACACUACAUGAGGUGUUCACAUGUAGGAACACGAUGGCUUGGUUUCAGAUCGCCUUCGUUUUAACUACAACCUGCUAAGACCUGCAGACUUCUGGAAACUGUCUGGCGAGGAGUGGCUUUGGGAAUGAGAUCAUCCUCCUCAAUAUGGGUGAAGCUGGGUUGGAUCUAAGUGUUCAUCACAGCCAGUUCAGUGGACACACUUGCUGAAGUACCCAGCAUGCCUCAUUGAGGACGGGGGGCAAAUUGGCCACAUUCCACAGCAUCAUCCCCUAUUAGAAAGUCUGUGCUUGGAUAGAGGACACAAAAGACUGACCCUGGAGAUUUACAGUGUGCACACAGAGGAUGAAUGCGAGACGCUGAGGGACAAAAGUGCAGGUUAAAUGUGACCACGUCGGAUUG
Danio rerio (zebrafish) is the source of this 971-nucleotide non-coding RNA. NCBI's taxonomy places the organism in Eukaryota, Metazoa, Chordata, Actinopteri, Cypriniformes, Danionidae. The record is from RefSeq and is a predicted model, not a curated record.